UCCCUGGCAGUCCAGUGGCUAAGACUCCACACUCCCAAUGUAGAGGGCCCAGGUUCGAUCCCCAGUCAGGGAA
RNAcentral lists this transfer RNA (73 nucleotides) under Bos taurus (domestic cattle). It matches the Rfam family "tRNA". Rfam says of the family: Transfer RNA (tRNA) molecules are approximately 80 nucleotides in length. Their secondary structure includes four short double-helical elements and three loops (D, anti-codon, and T loops). RNAcentral also lists the same sequence under 5 other names. Lineage: Eukaryota; Metazoa; Chordata; Mammalia; Artiodactyla; Bovidae. The record is from Rfam by way of RNAcentral.